GAACGCUAGCUACAGGCUUAACACAUGCAAGUCGAGGGGCAGCAUGGUCUAGCUUGCUAAGGCCGAUGGCGACCGGCGCACGGGUGAGUAACACGUAUCCAACCUGCCGUCUACUCUUGGACAGCCUUCUGAAAGGAAGAUUAAUACAAGAUGGCAUCAUGAGUCCACAUGUUCACAUGAUUAAAGGUAUUCCGGUAGACGAUGGGGAUGCGUUCCAUUAGAUAGUAGGCGGGGUAACGGCCCACCUAGUCUUCGAUGGAUAGGGGUUCUGAGAGGAAGGUCCCCCACAUUGGUACUGAGACACGGACCAAACUCCUACGGGAGGCAGCAGUGAGGAAUAUUGGUCAAUGGGCGCGAGCCUGAACCAGCCAAGUCGCGUGAGGGAUGAAGGUUCUAUGGAUCGUAAACCUCUUUUAUAAGGGAAUAAAGUGCGGGACGUGUCCCGUUUUGUAUGUACCUUAUGAAUAAGGAUCGGCUAACUCCGUG
RNAcentral lists this ribosomal RNA (486 nucleotides) under uncultured bacterium. RNAcentral's name for it is "bacterial SSU rRNA". It matches the Rfam family "Bacterial small subunit ribosomal RNA", at positions 31 to 507 of the family's 1533-position model. The record is from RNAcentral.